UGCCAUUCACACACUCUAGUUCAAUGGUA
RNAcentral lists this non-coding RNA (29 nucleotides) under Macaca fascicularis (crab-eating macaque). Lineage: Eukaryota; Metazoa; Chordata; Mammalia; Primates; Cercopithecidae. The record is from RNAcentral. RNAcentral also lists the same sequence under 1 other name.